CCCUUAGAUGUCCGGGGCCGCACGCGCGCUACACUGAAGGAAUCAGCGUGGCUUUCUCCCUGACCCGAAAGGGUUGGGAAACCCGUUGAAUCUCCUUCGUGAUAGGGAUUGGGGCUUGAAAUUGUUCCCCAUGAACGAGGAAUUCCCAGUAAGCGCGAGUCAUAAGCUCGCGUUGAUUACGUCCCUGCCCUUUGUACACACCGCCCGUCGCUACUACCGAUUGAACGGUUUAGUGAGGGCCUCGGAUUGGUCUCGGCCCGCUCUUUACCGGGCGGCGCCGUUGGUCGAGAAGACGCUCGAACUUGAUCGUUUAGAGGAAGGAAAAGUCGUAACA
Molecule: ribosomal RNA, 334 nt
Filed under: uncultured eukaryote
Lineage: Eukaryota
Description: partial 18S ribosomal RNA
Rfam family: Eukaryotic small subunit ribosomal RNA
Source: RNAcentral